AUAUGCAAUAAUAUAACAUAUUCAUGUUCUAGUUACAUACAACUUAAUAGAUCAUGAAAUGAUGCAUGAGAAUGAAUUUGAGUUUAAUUAAAUAAGUUUCUAUUCAUUAAGGUUAUGUUACUCACCUCUUAUGGCCUAUCAACCACUAGACACAAAUGGUUGUUAUCCUCUUAACCUUGGAUUCCCGAGUCUCUCAAAUUUGAUCUUAUAAAAGUCAGACCUUAAUAAAUUAUUCAAAACUCUAAAACACUAUACACAUAACAAACAACUUAAUCUAGGUCCUUUUGGGUCAUAAAAAUAAGUUUUGGAGCCUUAGAAUAAAAGGGAAAAUAAGGCUGACAGAACCAACUUUAGCUAUCAAAGUAAGAAACUUUGGCUGCCGAAGCCUUAACCUUAAAUACCCCCUUUUUAGGCAGUAAUGAUUGCGACUGCUGAAGUACUGAGCUUCUCUACUCCGACUACCAAAGUUAGGAACUCCGGCUACCCAAGUUGGGAACUUUGGCUGCAAAAGUCUUGAACUAAAAAAAAAAAAAAAACUAUCGAGAAGCUUCAGCUGUUCUGGCUGUCAAAACUAUGGUUUUCGGCAGCCAAAAAUGAAAAUUUUUAGAAUUCCCAAUUUGAAUUAUGCAAAAUCCGAUUUGCCCAAAACUCAUUUAUACUGCAUAAUCAUGUUCCAAAACUUCCUAUGAUCAACUCAAUUUACAUCCAAAACAUGCAAUAACUUAAAAAAUCAUUCAUGGAUGCUACAUGCAUCCAUCCAACAACAAACCACCCAAGAUUUUCUCAAUUCAUUAAAAAAUGCUAUAAAGGAGAAACUACAUAAAAAAAUCUAACUCAAACAACUUUAACAUAGUUCAAACCCAAACUCCAUCAUCAUUAUACAUAUUCUGAACUUAUACUAGAACUCCAAAACCAACAUGCAUUUAAAGAUUCCUUAAAACCAUCAACAUGCAAAAACCCUCAAAAUAUCAAAAUUGAUUCAAAAAGCUAAAACCACUCUUUUCUUACAUGCAACCCAAACUACUCAAAAUCACUCAUGAAAACAUUCUUAAAAAUAAUUUUGAUGGUUAAAAAAGGAAAGGGAAGUACUGUUAGAAUCCCUUAAUUAGUGCA
This 1113-nucleotide unclassified non-coding RNA is filed under the name Hevea brasiliensis (rubber tree). Lineage: Eukaryota; Viridiplantae; Streptophyta; Magnoliopsida; Malpighiales; Euphorbiaceae. The record is from RNAcentral.